This 399-nucleotide ribosomal RNA is filed under the name uncultured bacterium. RNAcentral's name for it is "bacterial SSU rRNA". It matches the Rfam family "Bacterial small subunit ribosomal RNA", at positions 28 to 429 of the family's 1533-position model. The record is from RNAcentral.
AUUGAACGCUGGCGGCAUGCUUUACACAUGCAAGUCGAACGGCAGCGGGGGCUUCGGCCUGCCGGCGAGUGGCGAACGGGUGAGUAAUGCAUCGGAACGUGCCCAGUCAUGGGGGAUAACUACGCGAAAGCGUAGCUAAUACCGCAUACGCCCUGAGGGGGAAAGCGGGGGAUCGCAAGACCUCGCGUGAUUGGAGCGGCCGAUGUCGGAUUAGCUAGUUGGUGGGGUAAAGGCCUACCAAGGCGACGAUCCGUAGCGGGUCUGAGAGGAUGAUCCGCCACACUGGGACUGAGACACGGCCCAGACUCCUACGGGAGGCAGCAGUGGGGGAAUUUUGGACAAUGGGGGGCAACCCUGAUCCAGCCAUGCCGCGUGAGUGAAGAAGGCCUCGGUUGUAAG